CCUACGGGAGGCAGCAGUGGGGAAUUUUGGACAAUGGGCGAAAGCCUGAUCCAGCCAUUCCGCGUGCAGGAUGAAGGCCCUCGGGUUGUAAACUGCUUUUGUACAGAACGAAAAGGUUUCUAUUAAUACUAGGAGCUCAUGACGGUACUGUAAGAAUAAGCACCGGCUAACUACGUGCCAGCAGCCGCGGUAAUACGUAGGGUGCAAGCGUUAAUCGGAAUUACUGGGCGUAAAGCGUGCGCAGGCGGUUAUAUAAGUCAGAUGUGAAAUCCCCGGGCUCAACCUGGGAACUGCAUUUGAGACUGUAUAGCUAGAGUACGGUAGAGGGGGAUGGAAUUCCGCGUGUAGCAGUGAAAUGCGUAGAUAUGCGGAGGAACACCGAUGGCGAAGGCAAUCCCCUGGACCUGUACUGACGCUCAUGCACGAAAGCGUGGGGAGCAAACAGGAUUAGAUACCCUGGUAGUCCACGCCCUAAACGAUGUCAACUGGUUGUUGGGUCUUAACUGACUCAGUAACGAAGCUAAUGCGUGAAGUUGACCGCCUGGGGAGUACGGCCGCAAGGUUGAAACUUAAAGGAAAUUGACGGCUGGAGAGUGCGAGGACGACGACGAGGGAGGAGG
RNAcentral lists this ribosomal RNA (620 nucleotides) under uncultured bacterium. RNAcentral's name for it is "bacterial SSU rRNA". It matches the Rfam family "Bacterial small subunit ribosomal RNA", at positions 338 to 951 of the family's 1533-position model. The record is from RNAcentral.